Molecule: ribosomal RNA, 490 nt
Filed under: uncultured bacterium
Lineage: Bacteria
Description: partial 16S ribosomal RNA
Rfam family: Bacterial small subunit ribosomal RNA
Source: RNAcentral
AUUGAACGCUGGCGGCAGGCCUAACACAUGCAAGUCGAACGGUAACAGGAAACAGCUUGCUGUUUCGCUGACGAGUGGCGGACGGGUGAGUAAUGUCUGGGAAACUGCCUGAUGGAGGGGGAUAACUACUGGAAACGGUAGCUAAUACCGCAUAACGUCGCAAGACCAAAGAGGGGGACCCUCGGGCCUCUUGCCAUCGGAUGUGCCCAGAUGGGAUUAGCUUGUUGGUGGGGUAACGGCUCACCAAGGCGACGAUCCCUAGCUGGUCUGAGAGGAUGACCAGCCACACUGGAACUGAGACACGGUCCAGACUCCUACGGGAGGCAGCAGUGGGGAAUAUUGCACAAUGGGCGCAAGCCUGAUGCAGCCAUGCCGCGUGUAUGAAGAAGGCCUUCGGGUUGUAAAGUACUUUCAGCGGGGAGGAAGGGAGUAAAGUUAAUACCUUUGCUCAUUGACGUUACCCGAAGAAGAAGCACCGGCUAACUCCGUG